Molecule: unclassified non-coding RNA, 1881 nt
Filed under: uncultured fungus
Lineage: Eukaryota; Fungi
Description: sequence contains 18S rRNA gene, ITS1, 5.8S rRNA gene, ITS2, 28S rRNA gene
Rfam family: Eukaryotic large subunit ribosomal RNA (bases 773-1881)
Source: RNAcentral
GGAAGGAUCAUUAACACGUAUCCACGUUAACCAAUGUGAACUGUUUUCGCCCUCCCUUUGCUGCAAAUGAGUUGGAAUUUGUAAUAGCGUUGAUGUGGAGUUCUCACGGACUCAACUAUUACAAACUACUUCGGCUUGCCGAGACAACUGGAUUGCACUGAAGGCAUUUUCUCGUCACUUUGAUUUCCAUCAUAAUCGUGGCGGCGGGAAACUUAUUUACCAUUUUCACCCUUUUUUGCUAGUUGACUUUUUUAUGUUGUUCUUUACGCAAGUAAGGUUCACACGUUUAUUAAUUGAACGUUAAAAAUACAACUCUUAGCAAUGGAUGUCUUGGUUCUCGCAACGAUGAAGAACGCAGCGAAAUGCGAUACGUAAUGCGAAUUGCAGAAUUCAGUGAAUCAUCAAAUCUUUGAACGCAAAUUGCGCUCUUGGGUAGCCCUAGGAGCACGCCUCUCUCAGUAUCGGUUCAACAAUCUCUCAGCAGCGUUUGGUAACAAUCGCGUUUGCUGGAUAAUGAGAGUCUGAAUGAAAAUUCAGUCUCUUUAAAUUCAUGGAGUAAAUUUAUAACUAACGAUCAAUUUUGCUUUUGCAAAUAGUCAUUCUUGACAGUUGCUCGCUAGUGACGUAGAUAUUGGCCUUUUGGUCUCUUUUUUACGUUUGUCUAGUUUGUAAUUUUUAGUUGAGUUUGGUGAACGUUCAAUUUAGUAGAAAAUUUAUGUAAGAAAUCCAUAUGAUUAUUAAAUUGAUUUAUUUUAAUUGAUAAUCUGAAUUUUGAUCUGAGAUGAAGCGAGACAACCCCCUGAAUUUAAGCAUAUUAAUAAGGGGAGGAAAAGAAACUAACAAGGAUUCCCUUAGUAACGGCGAGUGAAGCGGGAAGAGCUCAAUUUGAAAAUCGAUUUCCUAAACGGGACAUCGAGUUGUAGCCUAGAGACGUACUAUCAGCUGAAACCUGGGUAUAAGUUCUUUGGAAUGAGGCGCAUUAUAGGGUGAGAGCCCCGUAUAUGGCCCAAAGCUUUCAGCGUACGAUGUAUGUUCAUCGAGUCGAGUUGUUUGGGAUUGCAGCUCUAAAUGGGUGGUAAGUUUCAUCUAAAGCUAAAUAUUGGCGAGAGACCGAUAGCGAACAAGUACCGUGAGGGAAAGAUGAAAAGAACUUUGAAAAGAGAGUUAAAAGUACCUGAAAUUGCUAAGAGGGAAGCGCUAAAAACCAGUGAUAUGCUGAGUCAAUCGCUUUCGGCCCCACUAGUUGGCGUAAGUAAUGGGCAACCUUGCUUGCGUCACCGAAAGGGAGGUCGGGGGUUUAUGAUUUAGUGUAAGUCAAGAUCAAUUCGGAUUGUUGGAGAAGGCAGCGGGAAAGGUAGGAGAGCAAUCUCUGUUAUAUUCCUGUUGCUCUACAUCGGCCUGGAUUGAGGAAGUAAUGGUGCGCCGCUUGCGGCUUGGUCCUGCGUUUCUGUUGUUUUAGUUGCUCUGAUAGCAAUGCUAUCUCUGUGGCGAAGAGCAAUACUGGGCGUAGUGAUUCUAUGUGCCAUCACGAUCUUGUACGAAAUGGUUUUUAUCGACCCGUCUUGAAACACGGACCAAGGAGUCUAACAUCUAUGCAAGUAUUUGGGUGCAAAACCCUGAUGCGUAAUGAAAGUAAAGGUAGACUUGUUCUACUGAGGUAGGAAUCCUGCAAGGGAGGCACUAUCGACCGAUCAUCACUUGUGAAAGAUUUGAGUAAGAGCAUAUCUGUUGGGACCCGAAAGAUGGUGAUCUAUGCCUGAACAGGGUGAAGCCAGGGGAAACUCUGGUGGAGGCUCGUAGCGAUACUGACGUGCAAAUCGUUCGUCUGAUUUGGGUAUAGGGGCGAAAGACUAAUCGAACCAUCUAGUAGCUGGUUCCCUC